This is a non-coding RNA of Camelina sativa (false flax), 1849 nucleotides long. Lineage: Eukaryota; Viridiplantae; Streptophyta; Magnoliopsida; Brassicales; Brassicaceae. The record is from RefSeq and is a predicted model, not a curated record.
UUUGUCAAACAAUUGGGAAUCGAUCAAUUUUUUCAUCUCCAUCGUUUCAUCUUCAAUUGGGAAUCGAUCAAUCUUUUCAUCUCCAUCUUCUCACGAUCAAUUUUUCAGAAAAGAGGGUAAAAUCAAGUUCAGUACUUCUUCAAUCCACCGAAUCUUGAAGAGAAAACAAAAAAAUCGUAAAAUGAGAGAAGCUCCUAUUAGUCAAAUCAAUUGGGUUUGUCUAUGGAGAUGAUGGUGCUAUCAAUUGGAUGAUUCAGUUUUCACCCAUGGCUUUAGCGACCCGUUUUAUCUUACCAAUUGGAUUGAUCUGUGGUAGGGACGUUCUCGACAGCCAUUGGAGAAGGUUUGAAAGAAGAAAGGAGAAAGUGAAGAAGUUAAGGAUUCAAAAUAAAUCGGAGUAUGAAUUAGGAUUGAAAGACAUAACUAAAAACGCAGUUUGAGUGUAUCACACACGCUUUAGAACAGAGACACGUGACUGAACUCGGUUCGGUGUUACGAGGUUGUCGUAUGAGACGGCGCGUUCCCGCUUUAAAAGGCAACGGUUACAGUACUCUUCUCUUAGGCCAUCAUAUCGGUAAAACAUGUUGGGUGUUCUUAAGAUUUUUAAAACUGAAAAUAUAGAAAAAGUGGACUUAGAACAUGUUUUCUAAUCUUAAACUAGAACUGUUUUCGGCCCAGUUCUAGUGUGACGUGGCCUACUCUGAUUGGAAACAAUAUUUUGCAACCGAGAAAACUUUUCAUUUCUCAUUUUGUUCGAUAUCGUGACAAACUCCUUGUAAAAUCGGAAGAAAUUUGUUCCAAAAUUCAUUUGCAAAUGGAGGAGAAUGAUUUAAUUUUUGGUGACCUCCGACUGUUCGAACUGUUACUCAUCACCUCCACCGACGGCGGAUCUCAAUUGGUUCAGAGAUGAGAGAUCUUGAUUAUGUGUGAAGAGGACUCUCAACAGAUCGUAGAGGAGAUUCAUGAAAUAAAAGUGGUUGGUGUCAAGGAAUCAAUUUCAUCAGAGAGAGAACCAUACUGCACAAAACAAUUGAUUCCCCAAUCUAAGGUACAAGUCUCUUUUCUGGAACCUAGUCAUAGACUUUACAGUGAUAUAGGUGUUUCACAAUGCUAUUUCAGUUUUUAAAGCUGAUUCCCCAAUCUACUUGAAGCACAAAUGGCGAUCCAAGAGACUGCAAACUCAGUUGAAUAGCUUGUUGUCUCAUCAACUACCUUGUUAAAUCAAAUCUCUAUCACUUUGUACUGCAAAAAAUAUUUCCUUUUCUCUUUGUUUCUUUUGUAUGGACUGGAGUCAGUAUAUAUGACACUAAAAAUUCAAUGGCAACUGGACUAAGAGAGACGCUGGUGGAUGAGAAGAUCUCGUUUGGUCGAUACAGAACAGUGGAGGCAAAGAAUUUUGUAUUGUCCACGUUCAUCAACCGAUCUCAGUCCCGGGAGCGAUGUCCCAUUUCAAGCAGGGAAGCUAGAAGAAGAGAUAACUUGUAUCUAGAAGGUGAUGUCCGAUGUUUGAAAUGGUGUUAAUGUUGCAAAGGUUUUGUGUGUGUGUUUUCAGAUUUGUGAACCAUCAAGGCUAGAGAGUAGAGAGUUUCUGAAAAAACUGUAGGUCUUUGGAAAAUCUGCAGGGACUUCUCCACAGAGAUGAAAUGAAAUGUCAAAGUGGUGAUAAGUGCCUAUGAAGAUGAGGACAUGGACAUAAUGAUGAAGCAAAUACUUCCUUGAGACAACAUACACACCCUCUCGUUACAAUUGCAGCUUAUGAUACAAAACAAAUUUCCUAGUUUUAGCUCCUCUGUAAUUUCAAUAUUCAUGUAUCAAAUAUACAGUAAAAAUUAAUUAUUAUAUUAUUAAA